This 352-nucleotide ribosomal RNA is filed under the name uncultured bacterium. Its description in RNAcentral is "partial 16S ribosomal RNA". It matches the Rfam family "Bacterial small subunit ribosomal RNA", at positions 338 to 682 of the family's 1533-position model. The record is from RNAcentral.
CCUACGGGUGGCAGCAGUGGGGAAUAUUGCGCAAUGGGCGAAAGCCUGACGCAGCGACGCCGCGUGAGGGAUGAAGGUCUUCGGAUCGUAAACCUCUGUCAGCAGGGAAGAACGGUCACGGUGCUAAGCAGCAGUGAAUUGACGGUACCGGCAAAGGAAGCACCGGCGAACUCCGUGCCAGCAGCCGCGGGAAUACGGAGGGUGCGAGCGUUAAUCGGCAUUACUGGGCGUAAAGCGCUCGUAGGCGGUAUGUCAAGUCAAGGGUGAAAUCCCCGCGCUCAACGUGGGAACUGCCUUUUAACCUGGCAAACUGGAGUGUGUGAGAGGUUAGUGGAAUUCCCGGUGUAGGAGU